This 461-nucleotide ribosomal RNA is filed under the name uncultured bacterium. Its description in RNAcentral is "partial 16S ribosomal RNA". It matches the Rfam family "Bacterial small subunit ribosomal RNA", at positions 338 to 795 of the family's 1533-position model. The record is from RNAcentral.
CCUACGGGUGGCAGCAGUGAGGAAUAUUGGUCAAUGGACGAGAGUCUGAACCAGCCAAGUAGCGUGAAGGAUGACUGCCCUAUGGGUUGUAAACUUCUUUUAUAAAGGAUUAAAACGAGGCACGUGUGCCUUUUUGAAUGUACUUUAUGAAUAAGGAUCGGCUAACUCCGUGCCAGCAGCCGCGGUAAUACGGAGGAUCCGAGCGUUAUCCGGAUUUAUUGGGUUUAAAGAGAUCGUAGACGGGGUGUUACGUCAGUUGGGAAAGUUUGCGGCUCAACCGUAAAAUUGCAAUUGAUACUGGCAGUCUUGAGUACAGUGGAGGUAGGCGGAAUUCGGGGUGGAGCGGGGAAAUGCUUAGAUAUCACGAAGAACCCCGAUUGCGAAGGCAGCUUACUAAACUGUGACUGACAUUGAUGCUCGAAAGUGGGGGUAUCAAACAAGAUUAGAUACCCCGUGUAGUC